RNAcentral lists this long non-coding RNA (1014 nucleotides) under Equus caballus (horse). RNAcentral describes it as "lncRNA (ENSECAG00000054764.1)". Lineage: Eukaryota; Metazoa; Chordata; Mammalia; Perissodactyla; Equidae. The record is from RNAcentral.
CCCAAAGAGGGCAAGUCCCUUGAACUCCAGAGUGGGGAAGGACUGCGCCCAGCCAGCCUCACUCCCCUGCGAGUCCCUGGACUCGGUUUACAGCCAACAUGAAGGCUAACAUGGGACCAGGGUCAGGGCUCAGCUUGUGACCAGGACCAGGGCUCAGCUAGUGACCAGGACCAGGGCUCAGAGUGUGAGCAGGGUCAGGGCUCAGAGUGUGACCAGGGUCAGGGCUCAGAGUGUGACCAGGGUCAGGGCUCAGAGUGUGAGCAGGGUCAGGGCUCAGAGUGUGACCAGGGUCAGGGCUCAGAGUGUGAGCAGGGUCAGGGCUCAGUGUGUGACCAGGGUCAGGGCUCAGUGUGUGACCAGGGUCAGGGCUCAGAGUGUGAGUAGGGUCAGGGCUCAGUGUGUGACCAGGGUCAGGGCUCAGAGUGUGAGCAGGAUCAAGGCUCAGAGUGUGACCAAGGUCAGGGUUCAGAGUGUGACUAGGGUCAGGGCUCCGAGUGUGAGCAGGGUCAGGGUUCAGAGUGUGACCAAAGUCAGGGCUCCAGGUGUGACCAAUGUCUAGACUGAGUCCCUGGUCAGGGUUGGACAUCCUCAGCUCUGGCAGGCCUCUGGGACAACACAGUAGGACAGUAGGACAGACCAGGAAACCUUUUUGAGUUAAGCCCCUCUUUCUCUCUGGUGGCCUGGCCUCGACCCUGCUCUGUCUCCACGGGCCCAGCCUCUCCCCCAUUCUCUUUCCUGGGGCCCAGCCUCGCCCCUGCUCUCUCUCCUGUGGCUCCCCGUUUCCCACUCAGGAAAGUGCCGCCAUUUCCAGAACCCCUCCUGGCGAGGUCGCUUGUUGAGGAGGCCGUAUCCAGGGGUGCACGGUCGGGUGCAGCAGGCCAGGGACUUGUCUCCAGUGCCAGGAAGAGGGAGUGACGGUGGUUGUGAGCCGGCACUGUGCCCACAGCACCGUGUAUCUGGAGGGUGGAGCUCAGGCUGGGCGGGCUGUGGUUCUUUGGCAGUGCAGGGGCGGAG